This 2280-nucleotide ribosomal RNA is filed under the name human gut metagenome. RNAcentral's name for it is "bacterial LSU rRNA". It matches the Rfam family "Bacterial large subunit ribosomal RNA", at positions 3 to 2299 of the family's 2925-position model. The record is from RNAcentral.
UCAAGCUACUAAGGGCAUACGGUGGAUGCCUAGGCGCCAGGAGCCGAAGAAGGACGCGGUAAGCUGCGAAAAGCCACGGGGAACUGCAAGCGAGUAUUGAUCCGUGGAUAUCCGAAUGGGGAAACCCGGCCAUCGUAAUGGAUGGUCAUCCGCAAGGAAGGGAACCCGGGGAACUGAAACAUCUAAGUACCCGGAGGAAAAGAAAUCAAACGAGAUGCCCACAGUAGCGGCGAGCGAAGAGGGCAGAGCCCAAACCUGUAAGCUACGGCUUAUGGGGGUUGAGGACUGACGUAAUUAAGGCCAGGCUUAGCUGAACUACCUGGGAAGGUAGGCGAUAGAAGGUAAGAGCCCUGUAAGCGAAAGGCAGAGCCUUAAGGUCAGAAUCCAGAGUACCACGGAGCACGAGGAAUUCUGUGGGAAGCAGGGGGGACCACCCUCCAAGGCUAAAGACUAACUGGCGACCGAUAGCGCAUAGUACCGUGAGGGAAAGGUGAAAAGAACCCCGGGAGGGGAGUGAAAUAGUACCUGAAACCGUAUGUCUACAAGCAGUCGGAGCGAAAGCGACGGCGUGCCUAUUGAAGAAUGAACCAACGAGUUAUCUGCACUAGCGAGGUUAAGUGGAAGACACGGAGCCGUAGCGAAAGCGAGUCUGAAAAGGGCGGAUAGUUAGUGUAGGUAGACCCGAAACCGCAGUGAUCUACCCAUGUCCAGGUUGAAGCGCAGGUAAAAAUGCGUGGAGGACCGAACCGGUGAGCGUUGAAAAGCUUUCGGAUGAGAUGUGGGUAGGGGUGAAAUUCCAAUCGAACGCGGAGAUAGCUGGUUCUCCCCGAAAUAGCUUUAGGGCUAGCCUCAGGUAGUAAGUAUAGGCGGUAGAGCACUGAUCGGGCUAGGGGCCAUAAAGGUUACCGAACCCUGUCAAACUCCGAAUGGAUAUACUGCAGAGCCUGGGAGUCAGACUACGAGUGAUAAGAUCCGUGGUCAAAAGGGAAACAGCCCAGACCACCGGCUAAGGUCCCAAAUGCCGUACUAAGUGGAAAAGGAUGUGGGGAUUCAUAAACAACCAGGAUGUUGGCUCAGAAGCAGCCACCAUUUAAAGAGUGCGUAAUAGCUCACUGGUCGAGAGUCCCUGCGCCGAAAAUUUCCGGGGCUAAAGUACGGAACCGAAGCCGUGGCUGUGCAUGUAAGUGCACGGGGUAGGGGAGCGUUGCCACAGGGGUGAAGCUGGUCUGGAAGGACUGGUGGACUUGUGGGAAGUGAGAAUGUUGGUAUGAGUAGCGAAAAGAAAGGUGAGAAUCCUUUCCACCGAAAGCAUAAGGAUUCCUGAGCAACGAUCGUCGUCUCAGGGUAAGUCGGGACCUAAUCCGAGGCAAAGAGCGUAGGAGAUGGACAACAGGUUGAUAUUCCUGUACCGGCAGCAAUUGUUUGAGCGAAGGAGUGACACAGAAGGGCAGGCAGGCGCGAGACUGGAUUGUCGCGUGCAAGCGUGUAGGGUAGUGUACAGGCAAAUCCGUACACUGAAAGCCUGAGGCGUUACGCGGAGCGAGCAGAGAUGCGAGCGAAGCUGCUGAUCCCACACUGUCGAGAAAAGCUUCUAGUGAGAGAGCUGCCGCCCGUACCGUAAACCGACACAGGUAUGCGGGGAGAGAAUCCUAAGGUGCGCGGGAGAACCCUCGUUAAGGAACUCGGCAAAAUGUACCCGUAACUUCGGGAUAAGGGUAGCCGUCUUGGUGAAGGAGCUUGCCUCUGGAGCUGAAGGCGGUCGCAGAGAAGAGGCCCAAGCGACUGUUUACCACAAACACAGGUGCCUGCUAAAGCGAAAGCUGACGUAUAGGUGCUGACACCUGCCCAGUGCUGGAAGGUUAAGGAAGGAUGUCCGGGCAACCAAAGCAUUCGACCGAAGCCCCAGUGAACGGCGGCCGUAACUAUAACGGUCCUAAGGUAGCGAAAUUCCUUGUCGGGUAAGUUCCGACCCGCACGAAAGGUGUAACGAUUUGGGCACUGUCUCAACGAGGGACCCGGUGAAAUUGAAAUACCUGUGAAGAUGCAGGUUACCCGCGACUGGACAGAAAGACCCCAUGGAGCUUUACUGUAACCUGACAUUGGGUUUUGUUGUAUUACGUACAGGAUAGGUGGGAGGCUUGGAAGGCUGGACGCUAGUCUGGCUGGAGCCGGCGUUGGGAUACCACCCUUGAUACAACGGAAUUCUAACCGAGAGAGUAACGAAAUCCGGGACAGUGUCAGGCGGGCAGUUUGACUGGGGCGGUCGCCUCCGAAAGAGUA